GCCAGGUGUGGUGGUGCACGCCUGUAGUCCCAGCUACUUGGGAGGCUGAAGCAGAAGAAUCGCUUGAACCCAGGAGGCAGAGGUUGCAGUGAGCUGAGAUCGUGCCACUGCACUCCAGCCUGGGCAACAGAGUGAGACUCUGUCUCAA
RNAcentral lists this non-coding RNA (148 nucleotides) under Chlorocebus sabaeus (green monkey). The record is from Rfam by way of RNAcentral. Lineage: Eukaryota; Metazoa; Chordata; Mammalia; Primates; Cercopithecidae.